This 204-nucleotide ribosomal RNA is filed under the name uncultured bacterium. Its description in RNAcentral is "partial 16S ribosomal RNA". It matches the Rfam family "Bacterial small subunit ribosomal RNA", at positions 1298 to 1500 of the family's 1533-position model. The record is from RNAcentral.
CUGCAGGCUGCAACUCGCCUGCACGAAGUUGGAAUUGCUAGUAAUCGUGGAUCAGCAUGCCACGGUGAAUACGUUCCCGGGCCUUGUACACACCGCCCGUCACACCAUGGGAGCUUGUAACGCCCAAAGUCGGUGGCCUAACCUUUAUGGAGGGAGCCGCCUAAGGCGGGACAGAUGACUGGGGUGAAGUCGUAACAAGGUAAC